This is a non-coding RNA of Pelobates cultripes (western spadefoot toad), 354 nucleotides long. Lineage: Eukaryota; Metazoa; Chordata; Amphibia; Anura; Pelobatidae. The record is from the annotation of a GenBank genome assembly.
CCAAGUUGGUAACCAACCACAUAGACAUAUAUUACAAAAUUCUGGGAUCAAGCUGGGGUAUCUACAAAUUAAAAAAAACAAACAAAAAAAAACAUUGUGCAGUAUAGUUACGGUAAUCCCCUUCAGGACGGAUUCAAUAGUACACGUUCUGAUCAAAACAAAAUGUAAACAAAAACUGGAAUUUGCGCUGGUCUGUUUGGUCUGUUCAACCAUAAUUUACCUCUUUCAUAUUAAAUGCACCCACACCUAUUAUAUAUCAUUUUAUUCAGGAGAAACAGCGUUUUAAUUUCCCAUGAACUAUUCAUAUAUUAAACAUAAUUUAUUAUGAAUAAAAUAGAAAAAACUGUGAGAAAU